CAUUAGUGUAGAGAGGGAAAGACAAAAAUGGUUAAAAAUAGUGGAAAGAUGUAGGAUAUUUUUAGAAGAGAAGAAAAUAAUGAAAAAGUGUAAAAUAAUUUUGAAAUAAAUUAAAAUAAUGGAGAAGUGCAUGACCCACUUGAAGAGUUGGAUGGAAGAACACCUUAGACCGGCACAUCCGACGAUAAAUAGGCCGCAAAAUCCAGCCCAUAAUUAACCCAAUUGUGUCAAGUGUGGGUAAAUGAACAAAGCUAGCAUUUAAAGGUAGAAUGAGUAGAUGUGAGGGCCGUCUGAAUGAGCAAACUUGUACUGCAAGAGUUGAAAAAGAAAAACACCCUUUAUAACAAUGAAACAAGAGUGUUUGGGUUAAAGCUUAUGGAAUAAUAUUAAAAAGCUCUAUCUAGAGUAUUUAAUCCUAUGCCGAGGAAAAAUAUCAUCUAAUAUCAAACGUCUUUGUAAUAUUAAACAUGAAAUUUAAAAGUAUGAUUCAUAUCAAAUAUUGCUGUCAAUUCAAUAUUUUUUUAGACUUCCAUAAAAAUAAAUAAAAUUACGCCACAUUGCUUUCAUAAUACUGAAACAAAAUUUAUUUGUUAUGUUAAACAUAAAUUAAGAAUAAAUUACAUGUUUCCAAUGAAUGUCAAAUUACACUCCACAAAUCAAAUAUUAAAAUAAUUUAAAAUAAAAUUGUCAAAUAAAUAAAAUACUUAUUAAUUCUAAACCUACUUAUAAGACCUAAGAGUGAUAAGGGGACAUUAAUUUUAAACUUACUUAUGUAAUAAUACCUUUUUAUUUAGAAACAAAAUUAAAACUUAUAGAGAGCUUAUGAACUACCAAAUACUUUACAAGGUAGAAACUAACUAUUAACUACUAAAUUAAUUUAUCAACUACCAAGUAGUUUAUUAACUAGUAAAGAAACUUAUUUAUUAAGAAUCAUUAGUUUAUCCUCAUGUUAAACAUACCCUUAAUACAAUAAAAUUAUAAAAGUAAAAACAUUAUAAUUGAAAAAAAAUAGAGAAUGAGAAAGAAACAAAGGGUCCAGCUACGACUUAUUUGUCCACAUAUCACCUAGAAAAAAAAUUCUCCAUUUUAUUUACUCACCCACCCAAGCCAAUUAUUGCUUCAAAGAAUUCAUCCACCUUCAAUCCCUUUCAUUACUAACAACCAUUUUCAAUCACCUUUUCUACCAUAAAUAAAUAAAAAUAAAAAUAAAAGUUAGAAACGAAAAAAAGUUCCCAAAUCAAACCACAGCUCACUUAAUAAUAAUAGUAAUAAUAAAUAUUAAUAAUAAUUAUAAUCCAUUCUCUCUCUUUCUCUAUCGAUGCAAAACUCACCAACGGUAGUCGCGGCUCCGCCGCCGCGUCCCGCCGGCCAAAUCACCGUCAUACCCUUCCCGCCGCCGCAUCCCUUCGACGGCGCCCCCAGCUCCAUAUUCCAGAUCACCGUCCUCC
RNAcentral lists this long non-coding RNA (1448 nucleotides) under Vigna radiata. RNAcentral describes it as "long non-coding RNA (VRAD_LNC002671)". Lineage: Eukaryota; Viridiplantae; Streptophyta; Magnoliopsida; Fabales; Fabaceae. The record is from RNAcentral.